AGUCCCUAGAAAUGAUUAGGGGUGAAUUCUGCCCAAUGAGGAAUUUAAUGGCCGCGGUACUUUGACCGUGCUAAGGUAGCAUAAUCAGUUGACAUUUAAUUGAUGUCUGGAAUGAAUGGAAUCACGGAAUUGAGCUGUCUCCUUUUGUUUAUUUUUAAUUUACUAACUAAGUGAAAAGGCUUAGGGAUGAUAAAAGACGAGAAGACCCUUGGAGUUUAAGAUUUUGUUGGGGCGACAGGGGAGCAGUUUUAACCUCCCUUUAAGUAUGUGACGGUGAUAACAUGAAAAGAAAAACUACCCAAGGGAUAACAGCAUAAUCCUUAAUGGGUUUAUGACCUCGAUGUUGGACUAGGAAGCCACUAGGCUAGCCGCCUAAGUGGGGGAUUCUGUUCGAAUUUUUACUCCU
This 406-nucleotide ribosomal RNA is filed under the name Hamineobulla kawamurai. RNAcentral's name for it is "partial large subunit ribosomal RNA". It matches the Rfam family "Archaeal large subunit ribosomal RNA", at positions 1909 to 2665 of the family's 2987-position model. The record is from RNAcentral. Lineage: Eukaryota; Metazoa; Mollusca; Gastropoda; Cephalaspidea; Scaphandridae.